CCUACGGGAGGCAGCAGUGAGGAAUAUUGGUCAAUGGGCGAGAGCCUGAACCAGCCAAGUCGCGUGAAGGAUGACGGCCCUACGGGUUGUAAACUUCUUUUGUCAGGGAGCAUUUGGGUCCCCGCGUGGGCUUAGCGAGAGUACCUGAAGAAAAAGCAUCGGAUAACUCCGUGCCAGGAGCCGCGGUAAGACGGAGGAUGCGCGCGUUAGUCGGAUUUAGUGGGUUUAAAGGGUGCGUAGGCGGAAUAUCAAGUCAGCGGUAAAAAUUCGGGGCUCAACCCCGUCGUGCCGUUGAAACUGAUGUUCUUGAGUGGGCGUGAAGUAUGCGGAAUGCGUGGUGUAGCGGUGAAAUGCAUAGAUAUCACACAGAACUCCGAUUGCGAAGGCAGCAUACCGGCGCCCAACUGACGCUGAAGCACGAAAGCGUGGGUAUCGAACAGGAUUAGAUACCCGAGUAGUC
Molecule: ribosomal RNA, 460 nt
Filed under: uncultured bacterium
Lineage: Bacteria
Description: partial 16S ribosomal RNA
Rfam family: Bacterial small subunit ribosomal RNA
Source: RNAcentral